RNAcentral lists this long non-coding RNA (264 nucleotides) under Elaeis guineensis (African oil palm). RNAcentral describes it as "long non-coding RNA (EGUI_LNC005468)". Lineage: Eukaryota; Viridiplantae; Streptophyta; Magnoliopsida; Arecales; Arecaceae. The record is from RNAcentral.
GUCGGUGAUGUAGACAACUGGAGAGUUGUCAAAUCGCUGGAGAUUGUCACGUCGUUGACGAGCUGACAGGUCUUAGGAAUUAAUUUGCGUUCUUGGCAGGACAGCGCCCCAGGUUUCCUGGCAGGACAACGCCCCCCUGACGUUUGCACGGCAUGUCCUUGAUAGGAAUGCAGCCCAUGCCACUCGUUCGGCGUCUAGAAGGGCCUGUAGAGGUCGGACGCCGGUUGCCCAAAUCGACAGUGAGUCGGUGAUAUCCCAUCCGAC